Molecule: ribosomal RNA, 417 nt
Filed under: uncultured bacterium
Lineage: Bacteria
Description: SSU rRNA
Rfam family: Bacterial small subunit ribosomal RNA
Source: RNAcentral
GGCGGCGUGCCUAACACAUGCAAGUCGAGCGAGAAAGUCCUUCGGGAUGAGUACAGCGGCGAACGGGUGAGUAACACGUAAGAAUCUACCCUUUAGUGAGGAAUACCCUCGAGAAAUCGAGGUUAAUACUGCAUACGUCCCUUCGGGGAGAAAGAUGGCCUCUUUGCUAUCGCUAAAGGAGGAGCUUGCGCACUAUUAGCUAGUUGGUGGGGUAAAGGCCUACCAAGGCGAUGAUGGUUAGCCGGCCUGAGAGGGUGUUCGGCCACACUGGAACUUAGACACGGUCCAGACUCCUACGGGAGGCAGCAGUGAGGAAUCUUGCACAAUGGGCGAAAGCCUGAUGCAGCGACGCCGCGUGGAGGAUGAAGGUUUUCGGAUUGUAAACUCCUGUUAAGUGGGAAGAAAAGUCUGUUCCUA